RNAcentral lists this ribosomal RNA (1450 nucleotides) under Salmonella enterica subsp. enterica serovar Richmond. RNAcentral describes it as "partial 23S ribosomal RNA". It matches the Rfam family "Bacterial large subunit ribosomal RNA", at positions 711 to 2141 of the family's 2925-position model. Lineage: Bacteria; Pseudomonadati; Pseudomonadota; Gammaproteobacteria; Enterobacterales; Enterobacteriaceae. The record is from RNAcentral.
AGACCCGAAACCCGGUGAUCUAGCCAUGGGCAGGUUGAAGGUUGGGUAACACUAACUGGAGGACCGAACCGACUAAUGUUGAAAAAUUAGCGGAUGACCUGUGGCUGGGGGUGAAAGGCCAAUCAAACCGGGAGAUAGCUGGUUCUCCCCGAAAGCUAUUUAGGUAGCGCCUCGUGAACUCAUCUCCGGGGGUAGAGCACUGUUUCGGCUAGGGGGCCAUCCCGGCUUACCAACCCGAUGCAAACUGCGAAUACCGGAGAAUGUUAUCACGGGAGACACACGGCGGGUGCUAACGUCCGUCGUGAAGAGGGAAACAACCCAGACCGCCAGCUAAGGUCCCAAAGUCAUGGUUAAGUGGGAAACGAUGUGGGAAGGCCCAGACAGCCAGGAUGUUGGCUUAGAAGCAGCCAUCAUUUAAAGAAAGCGUAAUAGCUCACUGGUCGAGUCGGCCUGCGCGGAAGAUGUAACGGGGCUAAACCAUGCACCGAAGCUGCGGCAGCGACGUUUAUGCGUUGUUGGGUAGGGGAGCGUUCUGUAAGCCUGCGAAGGUGGCCUGUGAGGGUUGCUGGAGGUAUCAGAAGUGCGAAUGCUGACAUAAGUAACGAUAAAGCGGGUGAAAAGCCCGCUCGCCGGAAGACCAAGGGUUCCUGUCCAACGUUAAUCGGGGCAGGGUGAGUCGACCCCUAAGGCGAGGCCGAAAGGCGUAGUCGAUGGGAAACGGGUUAAUAUUCCCGUACUUGGUGUUACUGCGAAGGGGGGACGGAGAAGGCUAUGUUGGCCGGGCGACGGUUGUCCCGGUUUAAGCGUGUAGGUGUGUGUUCCAGGUAAAUCCGGUCCACUUUAACACUGAGGCGUGAUGACGAGGCACUACGGUGCUGAAGCAACAAAUGCCCUGCUUCCAGGAAAAGCCUCUAAGCAUCAGGUAACAUCAAAUCGUACCCCAAACCGACACAGGUGGUCAGGUAGAGAAUACCAAGGCGCUUGAGAGAACUCGGGUGAAGGAACUAGGCAAAAUGGUGCCGUAACUUCGGGAGAAGGCACGCUGACACGUAGGUGAAGUGAUUUACUCAUGGAGCUGAAGUCAGUCGAAGAUACCAGCUGGCUGCAACUGUUUAUUAAAAACACAGCACUGUGCAAACACGAAAGUGGACGUAUACGGUGUGACGCCUGCCCGGUGCCGGAAGGUUAAUUGAUGGGGUCAGCGCAAGCGAAGCUCCUGAUCGAAGCCCCGGUAAACGGCGGCCGUAACUAUAACGGUCCUAAGGUAGCGAAAUUCCUUGUCGGGUAAGUUCCGACCUGCACGAAUGGCGUAAUGAUGGCCAGGCUGUCUCCACCCGAGACUCAGUGAAAUUGAACUCGCUGUGAAGAUGCAGUGUACCCGCGGCAAGACGGAAAGACCCCGUGAACCUUUACUAUAGCUUGACACUGAACAUUGAGCCUUGAUGUGUAG